UGCCGUUGUACGCUACUAAUGUUUACUUAAGUCAAAGCAAAACUAAGUACAUCAUUACUGAGACUGACGUGAGUAAUUCAUUGAACUGUGAUAAAUGCCGAAAAUAUUUCAGAGUAAAAGAAGUUGUGAGAAAAUUAGAAUGUGGGCACAUUUUUUGUUUCAAAUGUAUUACUUCGUGGCUUCACAGUACAGAAGAAGGGAUUGACACGUGUCCGUUAUGUCAGGAAACUAUUGCAAUCCGACUUCAAAAUUUUGUGAAGACGGUUGUCUCUGACAUCACUACUCGAGCCAGCUGACCUUGCCAGCUGCGAUGCGAACAGCUGACUCAGUCAAGGUCAUUCAUUGUUGAUUGUUGACAUCUCUCUGUCUACCUUCCUAUUCAAUGUUCAAAGUCUUCUUUCAUUAAUAAAUUUUAAAUGUCUUAGCCAGAAUUAA
Molecule: long non-coding RNA, 435 nt
Organism: Macrosteles quadrilineatus (aster leafhopper)
Lineage: Eukaryota; Metazoa; Arthropoda; Insecta; Hemiptera; Cicadellidae
Exons: 2
Source: RefSeq, a predicted model, not a curated record